This 77-nucleotide transfer RNA is filed under the name Holdemanella biformis. Its description in RNAcentral is "tRNA-Arg". It matches the Rfam family "tRNA". Rfam says of the family: Transfer RNA (tRNA) molecules are approximately 80 nucleotides in length. Lineage: Bacteria; Bacillati; Bacillota; Erysipelotrichia; Erysipelotrichales; Erysipelotrichaceae. RNAcentral also lists the same sequence under 6 other names. The record is from RNAcentral.
AUUUCGGUAGCUCAGCUGGAUAGAGCAUCCGCCUCCUAAGCGGAAGGUCGUGGGUCCGAAUCCCAUCCGGAAUACCA